Molecule: long non-coding RNA, 3041 nt
Organism: Stegastes partitus (bicolor damselfish)
Lineage: Eukaryota; Metazoa; Chordata; Actinopteri; Pomacentridae
Exons: 2
Source: RefSeq, a predicted model, not a curated record
AAGGAGAGGAGAAGGAAGGGCGAGGGAGCAGGAGAUAGAGACGGAGAGAGAGAUGUGUGUUGCAGUGUGUCGAAGCCUGAACCUCCUGCUCCAUUUCACACUCUGUAGGUCCUGACGCGUCACCACUCCAAGACGCACACACAUCGCCACGCACAUAGACACACACCGGCUCUGGCCUUCUUCUUCUUUCUAAGUCACACGUGUUUGCCGCCUUUUCUCAGCUAAACACAGAUGCAUAAACACACAAUCGCUAAACUGAAUUUUUUGUUUGUCCCUUCAUCUAUUGCACAGCGUUCAGGAAAUAUUUAAAAGAAGAAUCCCCUCUAAAACAUUAGAUUUGCUGGUGGCCCAUGGUGCUUUCUACCAGCGCUGCUUCUUUGCAUCAAUGACCAACCAUUAUAGAGCGGGCAUCUGUCAGAGGAGCGCGGAGGCGCGUCGGCCGGAGCAUAAAAGCUAAUUACAAGGCAUCACAAUAUUAAAGAAUGUAUUGAACCUUAACACGCCAAAUGAAAAGAAGAAUCAAGAUGGCUUUAGAUUGAUUUGUCCUGAUUUUUGAGGUGUUGGUCUGAGAUUCUCUCCAAAACACUGUAGCUAAACUGAAUCCUUGCUGUGGCAUAAAAAGCUAAAGCAAUGUCCAGAAACAAAAAUCCCUUUUUCUUCUCCUUUUUUUGUUUUGUUUUAAUUGCAACUUCUUCAUCAUUGUAUUACAAAUGUCUUUACAAUCUUUACAAAAUAUGGCAAAUUCAUUCCUAAGACGUCCCAUAAUUUGAUCUAAACCCCUUCAGCGCUUACUGUUGAUAUUUCAGAUCAAAUGUUUAGAUGGUAUCUUGUAAUAUGUCGAGGAACUGUUGACAUUUUAUUGUGUGUGUGUUGUUUUGCUGUCAUUCAGAUGAUGGAGAAUUGUUUAAUGUGUUUAGGGGGAAAAGAAGGACUUGAGGCUGGAGGAAACGCUGCUCGCUUGAUUUUUUUUUAACCAAAUUUGACGAAAAAGGCAGUUUUCAAUAAAUCCAUAAGUGUGCUGAAAUUUUAUAGAAAAAGGGAGACAUUGUGGCUUCAUGCAUACGUAGUUACCUCCCUGCUUCUGCUUCUCUCUGUGCUGUGCUUGGCCAAACACUCCAGGACCUGCUGUGUCUCAAGGUGCACUCAAAACACAGGCUUCCUCGAGCUAAAGACGAUUUAACUUUGGCCUUUCUGUUGCGGUGCAGGAUCCAACAGCUUCGAUGUUGCCGUUAAGUGAAAGUGUGCCAAAACGAAGACAGAUAGUCGCUACUGAGCAGAACUCCAGUCUCAUGAUCAUGUAGGACUUCUUCUCUCCCCAGAAAACAGUCCUGAAAGAGCUUCCACAGGGACGGUUCCUAUGACUGGAGCGCACACAAAGGUUCGGGCAGCCCUAAAAUGCCUUUUGACAACAUCAUGACAACACAGCAUAGCAGUAGCACAAGUAAUGCUGAGUCAUAAAUACUCACUCUAUAGUUUUCUAUCAUUAGCUAACCGCCAUAAGCCGCUUCUCAGAACAAGACUGGAGCAGUAGAAGGCUUGCAUGUACUGAGCAGAGCGAGGCUACAAGUCAUUUCUUAGGAAAUGUUUUUUUCUUUUUAUGUUAAAUCCUCUUUUGACAAAGUCUCUCUUUCAGUAGGUUAUCUAAUCCGUGCAGUUAAAAAUUCAAUCAGACGCCCUCAACAAGCACAAAACCUCUGAUUCCUUUUUGUACACUUUGGUUGAGUUUGAAGCUGCACUGUCUAAGAACCACAUUUACACUUUUUUUGUCUGUUAAACGAUGUAAAAAAAAAAAAGUGUGUAACAAGAGGAUUGUUGCUGUGACUUCUCGUUUGACACUUCAUUAGCAUUGUUUUGUAUAAUUUCAGUGAGUUUCUCACACCCGUUUAUUGAAGCUGAUUGAGCCUCUUUCUUGUUCACGCUGACUGGGAUCAUCUCUGUGCAAUUAAACAUCUGGUGAAUUAAAUGUUUUGGACCUCCUGGACCCUCCACAUGGACUCCUGGGAAACCUCCUGGACUCUCUGAGAACUGCUUCACUGCGUCGCACAUGGAUCGUUGUUUCAGACGUGUCUCUGCAGCAGCGUUUUAGUCUCUUUAGCUGAAUGUUGUUGUUUUUUUCCCAGCCAACACAGAUGCACAAUCUCGUCACUGUCGGCAAUGCGUUGCCAUGGUUACUCCAGGCUCACCCAAGUCGCUGCGCCCUAGGUGAUCCCAAAAGGUGCCUGGCUGAAUGGGACAUCAUCGCCAUGGAGAUUGAGGCGAUGACACUCACGCACACACACACACACACACACACACACACACACAGUCACAGACUCAGAAAAGAGACCUGAUCUCAUGAGCUGCGCCGUCUGACUCGAUGAAAAGUUGUCUCUCCAAAGGGAAGACAGCCGUGCGGAUUGAGCUGUCACUUGAAGGGAACUGCGUGGAAAAUAAACGGAUCUCUCUUUUCUCUUUCAUUCUGUCAAACCUUUCCUUUGGGUAAUUCCAAGCCAAAGCCUGGGUCCAGAAGACGAGCAGGUGGACAUAAGUGUGCUGCAUUUAAAAUGACUCUGACUCAAACCUACACCCCGCCCUUGCUUCAUGUCUAAAGCAUGUCAGUGUACAGUGCCAGAGUGAGGGACAUCACCACAGGGCUUUCCCCACUUUGACUCCCAUUUUAUUGUGCGAUCCAUCCUGAUGCUCCUUUGGUCCUGUGCUUUCUGCCUGUUGGUGACUGUUUCGUAGGCACAUGAACUCCAAGUGGGCUCUCUUGCACACAGAUUAAAAAAAAUAAAAAGAAGUAAAUAAAUAGAAGUAAAUAUUGACUCCAGUCAAUAGAGACUGGUGGUUGAUCGGUUCUAAACUGUGUUGGUAAGAAGAAAAAAAAAACAUGUAUCUCCUGGGGGCAUAUAUGUGGCCCCGCAUGAAAUAUUUCUAUUUCUGAUCAUUCGGUGACAUUUUGCCCUGCUGAAUGUGCCCCCGAGGGGAUAUGAAACACUCCAUGCCUUCGCUGUGUUCACCUGUGAAUAAUAAAAAUAAAUGUACAAGCUGACAUUUCCUUA